GACGAACGCUGGCGGCGUGCCUAAUACAUGCAAGUCGAACGCAGUGGGGACGGGUGAGUAACACGUGGGUAACCUCCCAUCAGAUGGGAUAACACUUGGAAAUAGGUGCUAAACCGAUACUGAUGUAUGGACCCGCGGUGCAUUAGCUAGUUGGUGAGGUAAAGGCUCACCAAGGCCACGAUGCAGAGCCGGGCUGAGAGGGGGAUCGGCCACACUGGGACUGAGACACGGCCCAGACUCCUACGGGAGGCAGCGGUGGGGAAUCUUCGACAAUGGACGAAAGUCUGAUCGAGCAACGCCGCGUGAGUGAAGAAGGCUUUCGGAUCGUAAAACUCUGUUGUUAGAGAAGCGGUAUCUGACGAGAAAGCCACGGCUAACUACGUGCCAGCAGCCGCGGUAAUUC
RNAcentral lists this ribosomal RNA (403 nucleotides) under uncultured bacterium. RNAcentral describes it as "partial 16S ribosomal RNA". It matches the Rfam family "Bacterial small subunit ribosomal RNA", at positions 28 to 526 of the family's 1533-position model. The record is from RNAcentral.